CCCCACUCAAGGUUGCACUUGGAGAGUUUCUAGUACUCUACCAGUCCCAGCUAUGGGAGGGAGAGUCAAGCAGAGGCCUACCCAUUCCAUUCCUAGCUCGGGCAGUGGAUAGCGAGUGGAAAGCAAUCUGCUACAAGU
Molecule: small nucleolar RNA, 138 nt
Organism: Tachyglossus aculeatus (Australian echidna)
Lineage: Eukaryota; Metazoa; Chordata; Mammalia; Monotremata; Tachyglossidae
Source: RefSeq, a predicted model, not a curated record